GCGCUUGUAGCUCAGCUGGAUAGAGUGACUGGCUACGAACCAGUAGGUCGGGGGUUCGAAUCCCUCCAGGCGUGCCA
Molecule: transfer RNA, 77 nt
Filed under: Clostridiales bacterium
Lineage: Bacteria; Bacillati; Bacillota; Clostridia; Eubacteriales
Description: tRNA-Arg
Rfam family: tRNA
About the family: Transfer RNA (tRNA) molecules are approximately 80 nucleotides in length. Their secondary structure includes four short double-helical elements and three loops (D, anti-codon, and T loops).
Source: RNAcentral